Molecule: ribosomal RNA, 460 nt
Filed under: uncultured bacterium
Lineage: Bacteria
Description: bacterial SSU rRNA
Rfam family: Bacterial small subunit ribosomal RNA
Source: RNAcentral
GAUGAACGCUGGCGGCGUGCCUAAUACAUGCAAGUCGAACGGAGAAUGUAGCAAUACGUUCUUAGUGGCGAACGGGUGAGUAACGCGUUGGUGACCUGCCCCAAAGUGUGGGAUAACAGUUCGAAAGGACUGAUAAUACCGCAUGUGGUCAUCGGGUUUAGAAACCGGUGAUUAAAGGAGAAAUCCGCUAUGGGAGGGACCUGCGUCCCAUCAGCUAGUUGGUAGGGUAGUGGCCUACCAAGGCGAUGACGGGUAGGGGACCUGAGAGGGUGGCCCCCCACAAUGGAACUGAAACACGGUCCAUACACCUACGGGUGGCAGCAGUAGGGAAUAUUGGGUAAUGGGCGAAAGCCUGACCCAGCAACGCCGCGUGUGCGAUGAAGGCCUUCGGGUCGUAAAGCACUUUUGAUAGGGACGAGGAAGGACGGUACCUAUCGAAUAAGCCUCGGCUAACUACGUG